CUUGAGUGGAACUUGACAGUGCCCACACCUUACGUCUUCCUUGUCCGAUUCGCCAAGGCCGCGUCCUCCUGAGAUAAGAAGAACGGCAAGGAGGUAAAAGGAACACCAGAUUUUUAGCAAAUUCUUCAGAUGUAGUACGUAUCUUCCAUUUUGCCAAAGCAGUGAGUCUAUGUGCUGAAGUUUCUCGCGUCUUCUCUUGGAUGUAUUUGUCUAAAUGGAGAGCACUGUCUUUUUUGUGUGGAGCUGGCGCUGCUGCAGUAUGGACAGGAACAAUGCGUUGAUGUCGAGCAAAACACAGAGACAAGGUUAGGGAUUUUGUUUUUGUUCUAAAGUAUUUAUCUGCAUGCGUAAGUUUGAAGAUUGUUGUAGAGCGAGUUCAAGUGUGGUUUCGUGAAAAAAUUCUCGGUUUUGCACACCAGCCCCUUUGCUUUGCACAUUGCUUGGUUAUGCAUGACUGCUGAUGGAUGCAGCAAGCGUUUAUAUUAGUUUGAUCUUGUGCAAGACUCAAUUUUGUCUCGGUUUUCGUGGAUGCUAGCUGGCAAUACGUCCAACAUUCUUGCGGCGAUAGCGGCCACCACUAAGGGCAUUUGCGUCCAGCACUCGAGCUACAUGCUCGACGGUUGCACACUGCCGACAUGGGCAUGCACAAAGAUAUUAAGUAGAUGUUUGUUAGUUCAGUUUUUUAUUGAUUUACCUUGUUUAAGUAGUAGUGCAGCAAUAAAAGGUGUAGUUGUACUGAAGUUUUAGUUGCUAUAUGAGGAACCCAGAGGCCAUUUAUUUUGGUUUUCAGUUCAACUUGUCUGUUCUUUUCGGUCCGGAUGCUUUAUUGCGCAUAAUCUUGAGGAAAUCCCCAAAAAUCAUGUCUCAUGUGAAUCUUGAUCAGUUCAUCAGUUUGUCAGGAAAAUAUCAUCUACAAGAAGAAUUGCAAUCUCGUAAUGUGAAGUAUGUUGUAGUCUAUACCUGUAGAGUGCAUUUUUGCAGUGCUGGUAUUCGUGGUCACUCUUUUAUGUUAGAAACAAUGGAUAUAUAUUUAUAUUUUGUAGUGUCAGUACUUGAGAACAAAAGGUUCAGUUUCCAAACUUUAAACAGUUCAUCGCAAGCUUUCGGUGUAGCAAGACAUGCGCCAAUGUGUGUGUGCACUUGAUGCAACUCUAUUGCAGUAUAUGAAGUUCAUGCGAUUUUCAUGCAUCAACAAUCUGAUAGAGAGCACCAUUCUUUUCUGAAUUUUGUAUUUAAGAAAUAUCACCCUUUCUAUAUUUUGAACACUAGCUAGUGCUUUCUUUCGUUGUUAUAGUCAAAAAGUAGUACAUGCAUUUAGUUAUGGUGAUAGUGAUACUAACCAGACCAAGCUAGUUCAAUCGUUUUACCAAAUUCUAGAAAUUCUCCAUAUAUGCAAGAGCCAACCGGACGUCUUUGUCUAGCCUGACUUGGGACGGCUUCUUUGCAACUGCAGGUUAGAAAGUUCAACAUGUGAUUGGAAUUCAGUGCAAAAGCUGCAGGUUAGAAGUUCAUCUUCUGUUCUGCCCCUAGAAAGAAGUUUGUCUUGUAAAGGUUGAAGCUAAUGGGCUAGGAAGCUUUAUAAGAAAUUGAUUUGUGUGUUCAUUGAAAAAGUUUGGUUUGCCUGUUCCGUGAAAAUGUCUUGCUAAAGAAAUAUCUCUUGUGCACUUAUUUAUUCGCCUGAAUAUUUGGUUUGAUUCUCAGGUGCGAGAUGGCGGCCGCCGACGUUGCUAAAUCCUUCUACAAACUAGUGGUUGGCUGCUUCGAGCGGUAAAUGUGGUCGGAUUCAGCAGCUAGCUCUUCCUCGAGCAACCAUUUGGAGAAUUUUAUUGUCUUCUUGUGGUGGUGAUUGAUUUUAGGAUCAGUAAAUUUGACAUUGGUAGCUAGCUUGCGUAUGGAACCUGCAAGUUCAAUAUUGGUAUUAGAUUUAGUUUCUUGUUGUACAAAUGUCCCAGUUCAGCUACAGAAAUCAUGCAGGUUUAGUGAUGAUGAUACCAUAAGUUCGGACAAGAAAAUUUAUGUAUAUGAUGAGAUGAUUGCUACUUCUUCAAAGAAGGUAUUGUACAUGACAGCUUGAUGUGCAUACAAGAAUAAAGAAAAUGUUUGAAUCAAAAAUAUUGAUCAGUACUAAUUAAAAACAAU
This 2139-nucleotide long non-coding RNA is filed under the name Triticum aestivum (bread wheat). RNAcentral's name for it is "long non-coding RNA (TAES_LNC001424)". The record is from RNAcentral. Lineage: Eukaryota; Viridiplantae; Streptophyta; Magnoliopsida; Poales; Poaceae.